AAAUGAGAUUGCCUCUGUCCAUAAGGUUAGUUGAAUAAGACAGAUGGGACAAAGACUUGCUAAAGGAGCUGUGGGAAUGGAGGCAGGGGAUGUUUAGCAUAGCACAGAUGGAAAAGGCUGUAGGGGUCCAGGGAAGCCUUUCUAAACAAGUGGGAAUUGAGUGGAAUCCUAUGCCGCUUUACUCAGAAAUAGAAGACUCAUUGCAAUCAAUGAGACUUGCACCCAGCUUUCCAAUGGUUAUCUUGAGGAGCAACUAAUGUAUAAUUGGUGACUUUGUGAUGGUGCAUCAUGGAAAAGGAACAACAUUUCUAGAUACAAAAGUGAAACUGCCCAUGAAAUCAGCAGGAAAAAAGGCAACUCAGGAUACAUUAUUGCUCCCUCAGCAGUAUCUUCUUGGCGUUUCCUGUUGUUUCCAAAAUGGAGUCUUGCCACUGGGGGAUGAUGUCAGGUGAUACGUGGUACCCUCUAAUAAUUGAUCACCCAUCUCAUCUGCUUCACCUUGCCUCAGUUGCAGAUCUGUCUUGCUGCACAGCACCACUCCGGAUCCAGGCAAAGAGUCCCUGAUGUACAUGGCAACUACGGCCUUUCCGUGUGGUAAGAUUCCUGGUCACCUCCUCAAGCUCUACUGCCUUACUUGGAGAACUGAUGUUGCCUUCCAUCUUGCUGAUUCUUGAACACUUUUUCAUUCCAGUCUGUGGGAUUCCAUUUCUUCUUGUGUUUUCCUGUUGUCCUGAGAUAUAUUCCUGAGGACUGACCCAGCUCACCCUUAACAUUGUUUGGCCACUUCAGACAGACCCCAGCAAGUGAUCUUUGAUCAGGCAAUGCCUCUCUCUCUUCUGCAACUACAUCACAUCCUGUUGGCUCCCUGUUCUUGCUCUUGCUACCCACAGCAUUUUUCUUGCUACUGACACGGGCACUUCCAAUAGAUCAAUGUAUGGAAACUGAAAAAAAUUAAUGCAUUUCUAGCACUACCUGAACUAUGUCACAUAACAACUGGCAGCUUGCCACAGGGGAGGAGACCGUGCUAUUUGGGCAGAAACAGAUAUUCUUCCCCCUUGCCACAAGUUGCCAGUGGCAAUCUAAUGCCAUUCACACAGUGGUACAGCUGCUGCAGCCAGUAUUUCAGCUGAGGGGCUGGCUUCAUUCCUCACUCAUCAACCUGAGCAGGAAGAUGAAGGCUUAAAUGAUGCCAACUGAUCCUGACCACGGGGCUCAGCUGGGCCCUGGAAGUGCAAGACAGUCUGCUCUGCUCAUUGGCCACCUUCCCUUCUUCCUGAGAAAUAUGUGCUUGAGUUCAUUAGUUCCAAAUGACUAUUGACCAAAGCUACAGUGGGAUGUGAGUCAAGUGAGUGUCAGGGUGGUAUACUCUGAUGUCUGAAUCUAGUGCAGACAAUUCCAUGUGGGUUGUUUUUCACCAACAUGAUAACCUGCAAAUCCAUAGCUUCAAAUAGGGUUGUUGAGGAUCACUUUGCCAAGUAGGAGCCGUUGUUCACCACCUCUGCUUUGGUGUUUCUUUUUAGAACAGUUACUUCUUUCACUGUUAUUUUUCCUUUUCAGUGCUUUUGUAUUGGGCAAAUGGGCUUGUAUUUUCUCUUAGUAUUGUUUUUCUCCUGGUUCCCUCACAGCUGAGGGCAAAUUAGCUUAUAAGUAGCCUUGUCAACUUCUAUGUAUCUAAGCUGCUUUGGUAGUCACUUUGUCAGCUGAAACAUACAAAGAAAGCAACUACACAUAUGCAAGAGUGGAAUUGGUACACUUGCAAAGAUGCAGGGGUGAGCAGGAUACAGAUCCCUUGCACACUUCCAAGGAACCAAACUUUUUUCCCUCUAAAGUGACAAAUGAAGCACAUUCUCUGAAGGGGGCAGUUCAGGAAAGCUGGAAGAGGGCUGGAAGGGAGAAGGAAAGGGGCUGGGAUGGGGAAAGAAGACAGACUGUGCCAUAAAGCGCACUGGGACUCAGCAUGGGCUGCAAGACUGAGAGGAGUUCUGGGGGAAAUCACUAGCACUGCUUGCUUGUCUUUUGGGAGUGACAUGGAUUAGAAGUGAACAACUAACCCUUGGUGGCUUAUCCUUCAGCAUAGCUUAGCAUUAGGUGUGAACCCUCUCUAUGCUAGUUUCACUUUCACUAAAAGGUCAUAGCCCUUUAAACACACCAAUUACAGAUGCUUUUUUCAAUCUCAGGAUGCUUCAAACUAGCCUAUUUUCUCAGAAUUGCCAUCACUCAUUUCUCAUGAAGAAUCCAGAUUAUGUUAUGAACAAACAGUUGCAAUCUAAUAUUUUCUGCAUUUUCCUUUUUUCAGACCUAAGUUGUGAUUUACAGUUUUAAUUAAAAUGCAACUGCACUACCUGCCUAUUCCAUGAGAAAGGCAAAAUGCUAUUGAGGCCUUUCAGGUCUUCUAUGCCUUUAAUGAAAUGUUUCCUGCUUGCAAAUUCUGCCUGUUUUAUUGCUUCUUGUUGAAGUCUUACUGCUAAAGUGCUUCUUUAUCUAAUUAAAUAUUUCUCUUCACUGCC
Molecule: long non-coding RNA, 2507 nt
Organism: Varanus komodoensis (Komodo dragon)
Lineage: Eukaryota; Metazoa; Chordata; Lepidosauria; Squamata; Varanidae
Exons: 5
Source: RefSeq, a predicted model, not a curated record